GAUGCGAUGAGACGGUGGAGAGGAAGGAAAGCACUCCUGAAGGUGGCCCUGGACGGGAUUUGGAGCAUUAAGAGGGACCUCUCCGCGGGCGUGCAGCCGGGACUGCCGAGAGGGAGCGGGCUCCUGCCGCAAGCCAAGUACUACUCGAGGCACGGGGGGCCGAGAAGAUAAGAGGAAUACAUUUUUCCUUUGAGAAGAAACCUCUUUCUCCUGAUGUCUGAAAAAAGAAGAAAGUCAAGCUUAUUCCACAGUUUAAAACAUGUAAAAAAUGUAGAUUAGUCUGUAAUUCCUGUUAGUGGUAUUAGUCCCUAUCUAUAAAUUAACCCAAAGAGAUGAAAGACUACUGGUGUGCUAAGCACCCGAAAACAAAGGAGAAUCCACUUACUUUCAGUUGUCACAGUUGGAAUACAUCGGGCCUCUAAUUCAGCUUAUCCUAUUAAAUAUGUGAAACAAUAGUGAAACAAAGCCAUG
This 471-nucleotide long non-coding RNA is filed under the name Dasypus novemcinctus (nine-banded armadillo). Its description in RNAcentral is "lncRNA (ENSDNOG00000052947.1)". The record is from RNAcentral. Lineage: Eukaryota; Metazoa; Chordata; Mammalia; Cingulata; Dasypodidae.